UUUCGGUUCUUUAUUUUCAAAUGUACAAAUGUCCAUUUAAUUUUACUUCAGUUUUAUUUUCAAUAUUUUCUGUUCUUUGACCAUACACUUUUUCUUCAUUUUUUUUUUCAUUAAUAAGGCCGUUAGUUUUCUCAUUGAAUUGUUUUACAUUUGUCAUUUCGGGGCCUUUUAUAGCUGACUAUGUGAUAUGGGCUUUGCUCGUUGUUGAAGGCUGUAUGGUGACCUAUAGUUGUUAAUUUCUGUGUCAUUUGGUCUCUUGUGGAGAGUUGUCUCAUUGACAAUUAUACCACAUCUUCUUUCUCAUACUUAUUUAAAAUAGUAAUACAUUUUUGUACACUUACCAAAAUUUUGCCAUAUCAAUCUGUUUCUUUCUAUUUUUAAGUAACUGAUAUUCUUGAAAUCUUAUGUACAAUGGAUCAUUGAUAUAGGUCAACUUUGUCUCCAGGUCCGGUUUUUCAAUUUUUUUGUUUACUGGUUGAAUAACAGGUGUCAACUGUACGGUCUGUUUCUGAAGACGAACUCAGAGCAAAGCAGCAGGAUCACUUGCACAUAUUAAACAAUAGCGUGAAAUAUGCACAGAUUCCUUUUUCUUUUGUCGAUUUUGUUCUCUCUUCUUUCUUUUGUAUUUUCGCUUUGGAUUUCAGGAAGGUCUACCCAUAUAAUUGCUGUAAAUAGAAUAAUAUAAUUGUUUAAGUAUAUAUAACCCUUAAAUUGUAACUGCUUCAAAUUUUCUUAAUGUACCCAACACCUGGAGACUUUAUUAUAGUUUAUAUAGCAACUGUUAGAAUUAGGAAAAUAGAU
Molecule: long non-coding RNA, 801 nt
Filed under: Mytilus galloprovincialis (Mediterranean mussel)
Lineage: Eukaryota; Metazoa; Mollusca; Bivalvia; Mytilida; Mytilidae
Source: RNAcentral